This 70-nucleotide transfer RNA is filed under the name Moniezia expansa (sheep tapeworm). RNAcentral describes it as "tRNA-Pro". The record is from RNAcentral. Lineage: Eukaryota; Metazoa; Platyhelminthes; Cestoda; Cyclophyllidea; Anoplocephalidae.
CUUAUCUUAGUUUAAUUAAGAAUUUAGGUUUUGGGGACUUAAGGUCUCUAUGGAGAGGUUAGAGGUUGGG